GUACGGGAGGCAGCAGUAAGGAAUAUUGCGCAAUGGGCGAAGGCCUGACGCAGCGACGCCGCGUGGGGGAUGAAGGUCUUCGGAUUGUAAACCCCUUUCGGGAGGGAAGAUGGAGCGAGCAAUCGUUCGGACGGUACCUCCAGAAGCAGCCACGGCUAACUUCGUGCCAGCAGCCGCGGUAAUACGAAGGUGGCAAGCGUUGUUCGGAUUUACUGGGCGUACAGGGAGCGUAGGCGGUUCGGUAAGCCCUUUGUGAAAUCUCCAGGCUUAACCUGGAAAAGUCGGAGGGGACUGCCGGGCUAGAGGGCGGGAGAGGAGCGCGGAAUUCCCGGUGUAGCGGUGAAAUGCGUAGAGAUCGGGAGGAAGGCCGGUGGCGAAGGCGGCGCUCUGGAACGUUUCUGACGCUGAGGCUCGAAAGCGUGGGGAGCAAACAGGAUUAGAAACCCGUGUAGUCCU
This 456-nucleotide ribosomal RNA is filed under the name uncultured bacterium. RNAcentral's name for it is "bacterial SSU rRNA". It matches the Rfam family "Bacterial small subunit ribosomal RNA", at positions 339 to 797 of the family's 1533-position model. The record is from RNAcentral.